GUGCUUGCUUCAGCAACACAUAUGCCAAAGUUGGAAUGAUACAGAGAAAAUUAGCAUGCCCCUGCACAAGAAUGACAUGCAAAUUUGUAAAGCAUUCCAUAUUUAA
Molecule: small nuclear RNA, 106 nt
Organism: Symphalangus syndactylus (siamang)
Lineage: Eukaryota; Metazoa; Chordata; Mammalia; Primates; Hylobatidae
Source: RefSeq, a predicted model, not a curated record